UCCCCCGCCCCGGGUUCACCCCCUCGGGAGAGGGCGACGGGGCGCAGGGAGCGUGCGCGCGGCCCGCCCCGGGCGCGGGCGGAGAGGAGAAGGAGGGGCGCGCGCGGCUCCCAGCCCGCAGAAGCCGGGAGCCGCGCAGGAGGACGGAGCGCCAGCAGCGAGCCGCGCCGCACCGAUCUGAAUUUUAUCCACUGUAAUCAGGACUGCUCACCUAAGAAUUUCUGGAUCCAGACCAAGGGCUCCAGCAUUCACUGGAUUCUGCAGCAAGAAGGAUAUUGUGACUUAGGAUUCCCUGGUGGAAGACAACCACACACUCUGGUCUUACCCCGACGAUGCAA
RNAcentral lists this long non-coding RNA (338 nucleotides) under Urocitellus parryii (Arctic ground squirrel). Its description in RNAcentral is "lncRNA (ENSUPAG00010011614.1)". The record is from RNAcentral. Lineage: Eukaryota; Metazoa; Chordata; Mammalia; Rodentia; Sciuridae.